This 680-nucleotide ribosomal RNA is filed under the name uncultured Lachnospiraceae bacterium. RNAcentral's name for it is "bacterial SSU rRNA". It matches the Rfam family "Bacterial small subunit ribosomal RNA", at positions 75 to 774 of the family's 1533-position model. Lineage: Bacteria; Bacillati; Bacillota; Clostridia; Lachnospirales; Lachnospiraceae. The record is from RNAcentral.
UGAAGAGGUUUGUGACUGAGUGGCGGACGGGUGAGUAACGCGUGGGUAACCUGCCUCAUACAGGGGGAUAACAGUUAGAAAUGACUGCUAAUACCGCAUAAGACCACAGAGCCGCAUGGCUCAGUGGGAAAAACUCCGGUGGUAUGAGAUGGACCCGCGUCUGAUUAGGUAGUUGGUGGGGUAACGGCCUACCAAGCCAACGAUCAGUAGCCGACCUGAGAGGGUGACCGGCCACAUUGGGACUGAGACACGGCCCAAACUCCUACGGGAGGCAGCAGUGGGGAAUAUUGCACAAUGGGGGAAACCCUGAUGCAGCGACGCCGCGUGAGCGAAGAAGUAUUUCGGUAUGUAAAGCUCUAUCAGCAGGGAAGAAAAUGACGGUACCUGACUAAGAAGCACCGGCUAAAUACGUGCCAGCAGCCGCGGUAAUACGUAUGGUGCAAGCGUUAUCCGGAUUUACUGGGUGUAAAGGGAGCGUAGACGGCUGUGUAAGUCUGAAGUGAAAGCCCGGGGCUCAACCCCGGGACUGCUUUGGAAACUAUGCAGCUAGAGUGUCGGAGAGGUAAGUGGAAUUCCCAGUGUAGCGGUGAAAUGCGUAGAUAUUGGGAGGAACACCAGUGGCGAAGGCGGCUUACUGGACGAUGACUGACGUUGAGGCUCGAAAGCGUGGGGAGCAAACA